RNAcentral lists this long non-coding RNA (553 nucleotides) under Phasianus colchicus (ring-necked pheasant). RNAcentral describes it as "lncRNA (ENSPCLG00000019688.1)". The record is from RNAcentral. Lineage: Eukaryota; Metazoa; Chordata; Aves; Galliformes; Phasianidae.
CUCUUGUGCUCCCAUCAUUAAGCAAUGAGUCGAGUUUAAACCUCUACAGAUAUUUUGUGGAUAGCAUCGGUAACCUCCAGCAGCAGGUGACACAUUCAGGUGUCCAGCCUCAGGUUUGUGUAAGAGCUUUCCUACAACAGCCGGAGCAAGGAUACCCAUAAGUGCAGUGGCUGAUCUUCCAGAAAUACACACUUUGGCUCACCUCAGUGCAGUUUGCAGUGUCUUGAGUCCAUUUCUAUGAGAAAUGAAUGGAAAUCAUUGAAAUCAAAAGAAGGAAUUAAAUGUUUGCAACUCUGUGUGCUCUGAAAAACCCUGCAAAGGAAGCUUGCUAAAAAAGAAGCAUAGGAGGGAGCUGGGAAGGCAGAGUGGCCUCAUAGGAAUUGAAGGUAAUAAUGCACAGCUCAUGAAUACAGGAACACCACUGAUGUGGGAAAAGCUCACAUUUCUUAUUGGCUACACCACUACUGUACAAGGACAAGUACAGUGAGACUGUUUUUUGGUUUUUUUUUUCUCCCCUUUUUUAGCUUUGUUAUUUGUUAUUACUGUUUUUGAU